AGAUUUUAUCCAGCAAGAAUCGGCCGUACAACAGACGCUCUAUGACUCUAUGAAAUACUGAAGGAGGGGUACAUGUUUAAGCUCUCGGCGAUUAUUGAGAAUUUAAAUGUACAUUGUUAAGAGGUGCCAAUUUUAAGGCACCUUCCACAGUGGGGCUUAGGUUGUCCCGGUGCUAUCUCCGGUACAAGCGCACUUUCCUUAAGGUAUUGCCACGCAUCUGCUUUGAAUGCGACACGUAUUGCACCUCUGCGUAAUGCCAAUACCGGUAUACUUAUUUGUGUUUUUGGCAGGUCAGGAACAUUCCUUCCGCGACUCGGUUCUGGUCAGAGCGGAACAGCUGGCAUCGCGAUGCAUAAAUUUGUUUUCUUGCUAUGUGCAUUUUAUUUCACGAUCCUCAUCAGGAACGCUGCCUGCGAGUUAUUCCAUCAUCACUUAUUUUUCAUAUGGCGUCUGCUUCCCUUUCCCCGCCAGCUCGUCCAUUAAGUUGGCUGGGUGGGUUCGGAGCUCCCAGCAGGACUCUUACCUAUUGGACCGAACGACAGGAAAAGAUCAUUGAAAAUACUAUUUUGUUUUUUUUAAUAAUAUACUGUAUGUUAUUACCCAUUAUGCGAGAACAUUUAGUUGACAUUGCCUAUUUGCCCGCGGUCGUUGACGGUUGGCCAACACAUCGGCAAUAAACAAGAAGCCUCGUCUAAAUCCUGUCCAUAAGCAAAC
This 714-nucleotide long non-coding RNA is filed under the name Volvox carteri. RNAcentral's name for it is "long non-coding RNA (VCAR_LNC003111)". The record is from RNAcentral. Lineage: Eukaryota; Viridiplantae; Chlorophyta; Chlorophyceae; Chlamydomonadales; Volvocaceae.